UAAAAGGAUUGCAGACGAAAAACUAUGCACGUGUUUGACUAUUUAUAUCCAACUUGGAUUUCAAUAAGAAUUUUUGCAGGAAAUAAAACAUGAUAAACAAAUUACACUUGCAAACUCAUGUUACUGCACUGUGCAUCGUCAAACCGCAUUUUUUGCUAGAAGGUUGUGGCGGUUUUUUAAACCUGUACAACUUGGAUUCUAAUCAGCUUUUGGAAAGUCUUAAUAUAUUCCGUGGAGCGAGAAUUCAUGGUAUUCAAUAUUCACCCCGUAACGAAACAAUUGUUGCUUUUGGGGGGAAGCUGCUAGCUGUAGUGGCACUCAAUGGAUCUCAGUCUGCUGUUUCGAGGUUGAAUAUUUUGCAGAAAUCAAGCGAAACUGAUUGGAUAAGGGAUGCCAAAUUUGUCAAUAAUGGGGAUUACCUUGUCAAAUUAACUUCCCAUAAUAAAGUUUUAAUUCAGAAAACUGCCUCGAAAGCUGAAAUCAUUGAAGUGCAAGGCGAAGAGCAAUGCAUAUUGUAUUGCGGUAAAAUACUGGGGGAUCACCUUUCACAGUUGACCAUUCUAGCCGGCACUGUGUUUGGGAACAUUCUUGUUUGGGCAGCAUCGACAUCUGAAAAGGAUAAUUGCCUCUUUCACAGAUUAACAGGUCACAAUGGUGUCAUCUUCUCUAUAAACUAUGAUGAAAUUUCACAAACAAUCAUAUCAACGUCAGACGACAGAUCAGUUCGCUCUUGGAGUCUUCUAUUUGAAGAUGAUAAACCAAGUAACCUCUGGAGUCUGUUCCAGCGAGCUAGAAUUCAGGCCAAGCAUGAACUUUAUGGUCAUGAAGCCCGCGUUUGGAAUAGUGUCGUUAUGCGUCGAAAUCAAUGCGAGCCUGCGCUCGUAGCUAGUUUAGGUGAAGAUUCUCGCGUUUGUCUUUGGGACUUAACGAGCGGCACUUUGGUUUCCAAAUUUGAUGCUCAUCCAGGAACAAGCGUUUGGGCCGCCGAAUGGGAUCCUUUACGAAAAUUAUUGGUUACUGCCGGAGGAGAUGGAUCCACGAGAAUUUGGAAUGUCAAUCAUUUACAGGAAACAACGUGUCGUCAGCUGAAGCUUCCUGAAGAGGGCCAAGUCCCGCGUUUAGUGGCCAUUACAUCAUCUGGUUCCUAUCGCUACUUGGUCUUCAGUCAACAGGGCAUCAUCUACGGAUGGAAUCCAGAUACCCAGCUUUGGACGUCACUCUUUCAGGACGAAAGGCUCGGCAAUGGCAGCGUCUUGGAUUCUGACGGCCAGACGAUUAUAUUUGGAACACGCACCGGGGCUGUAUUCGUCUUCGUUUCCGGUCCAUCGUUGGAAUUGCUUACGACCCAUCAACUGGAAAAAUCGAAAAUUUAUAGCGUUCAUUUGGUCGCAUCAGGGCAGUUUAUGGCGUGUCUGGAUAACGGUCGUUUACUGCUUCUUAAUAUUUUUGAUGGCAAUGACUCGGAACCAAAGACCCGAUUCAUACUGCCUGAAGGCAAACAGCGUUGGCCAAGCUGUAUUUUGGCCACCCAAAGUCGAUUCAUGAUGGGCGAUCGUGAAGGAAGCCUUCAUCUUUAUUCAACCAAAAAAGAGACCCCUCUUCAAUCGUUUGUGAAUAUCCAUGGCAAAAAUGGCUUGACUGAUAUCAAGAGUGAUCCUAUCGGUCGAAAUCUUUAUUACACGUCGGGAAAAGAUGGCCGUGUAGGUCUUUGGCAUUUAACUGACGACCAAAAUCAGCUGGAAUUGCUCUCACUUACUAACACGAGCCUCGGCUGGAUCGCUCGUUUGCGCUGGAUCAAUCGUCAGUUAACGUACCUGGCUUUUCAAAGCGAUCGAUUCGUUGUGUGGUCCAGCCAUCAACAGAGAAGUCUUAUGCAAGUGCCCUGUGGCGGAGGUCACCGUUCCUGGGACUUUGACGUUACGUCUGACGUCACGUUCCUGUUCAUCAAGGACAAGCAUAUCUACGAGCACAGACGCCCAUUGAGUGGCGUAUUCAGCUCUUCUUUGGCCGGCCGCUGCGGAGGCCAUAGUAAAUCCGUGUGUCGGGGCAGGUUUAUCGGAUUUCACGAGCCGCUGAUCCUGACGGGAAGUGAAGACACCACCAUGAGAUUAUCCCGAUUAGAUCAGCGGUCUGCCCAAUCUCUGACCAUCAUUACCAAACACGUUUCCAGCGUCAGAGCUCUGGCCGUCCAAGAGCUGAAGGAUAGACCUGGAACUUGGUUGUGCGUCUCAGCCGGAGGCAGAGCACAGUUAUCCGUUGGACUUCUGACAAUCGCUGGCCAGGGCGACCAGGUACACGUCAUCCACCAUGACGUACGAUCGCAUUUUUUGCGCGGUUGGCUCCGUAGAGCGACGAAUAAGCCUUGGGUCAAUGACGGCCAUCCGUCCCUCAUACCCGACCCUGAAACACGCUAUAUGGAUGUUGAUGUGUUGGACCGUUGUGACAGCAACUUCCACAUUAUCGCUGCUUGCUCUGAUAGCUUUAUAAGGAUUUUUAGUUUAGCCCUGGACGGGUGUCGACUCGAUUUGUUCCAGGAAUUGAGCUUCCACAAUUGUUGCGUCUUGCAAGUCAAAGUGGUGGCCGAUGCGUACGGAAAUUCCAUCCUUUUUUCGACAGGGACAAAUGGCCAGCUCGCUGUAUGGAACAUAACUUCACUGGAAGAAGAUAAAGGAAUAGAACCCAUAGGCAGCCUUCAGGCCCAUCAAUCGGGCAUAAAUAGUUUGGACUGUCAAUGGGUGGACGUUGAUCGUAUGUUAAUUCUGACGGGAGGCGAUGACAACGCCUUGGUUUGCACCAAAGUCGAGCUCAGUUGCGAGAGGAAUGCGCUGAAAUUCAUCGAUCAACAAAAGCAAUUCCCCCACGCUGCACAGAUUUCUGGUGUGGCCAUCUUGAGCAAUAGUUUAUGUCUAAGCGUAUCACUGGACCAGCGUCUGAUACUCUGGAAGCGACUAGACACUCAGCUGACGUGUCUGUCCACCAUUUGCUGUGAUGUAUCAGACAUUCAAGGGCUGGAUGUAUUUCCAGGUGUGACCAAAACUUUGGUCAUGGUUUAUGGUCAAGGUAUUCAAGUCUUUGAAGUGGACGAGUCGAUUAGCGUUACUCAAAAUUUAGAGUAUCCAUCUGCCACAAUUGUCGACCCACUAUCCGCUUAAGUUGCAGCACUUUGCAGGUGUUUUAUGUGGCCAUUGCGUUUCAAGUGCUUGGCUACCGUUUGCUGUUGUCCAUCGUGUGAUGACUUGAUUUUUUUUUUCUUUUCGUUUUUCAAAAUUGAAUGACGUGACGCAUACUGACGAAGAAAAUGGAUCGUUUGAAGGGGAUUUACUUGCGUCAUUGCAAGAAAAAAAAAAAAGUCUCAGAAAUGGAAUUAUUUUGGGCGGUUUUUUUGUAUUAACGAAAAUGAGAGAGGAUAUUCCAAAUAUGGGUGAAAAUGUUGAGAGGGGCGGGUCGUGAUAACAUCCGCAACACGCCAACUCGUUUGACAGGUUUUACCAGUGCACUUGGAGAAAGGACUUUUUAUUAUUAUUAUUUUUAUCAUUAUUAUUGUUUGUAUGCAUGUAAAAACAGCCGCAGAAGACCAUGGCGCACCCCAUUUACAUUUAUUCAGCCUUGGGUUGUAUUCCAGGCCCAAGCUCGGCGGAGAAAUGAUUAACAUAAUAAUCCAAUUUGACUUUUAUAGGUUUUUAAAUUGCACCUGGGCAUUCUUGCCGGGUGGCAAGAAUUUUUUUUUUCCUCCCCUGCUUACAGCGCACAGGUACGAGAUGCCAAGAUGAUUCGAUUUCGACGACCUCCAAAUCUAAUGAAAAAGGAAAAUAAACACGCCUUGGAAGGCCGUCCUUUUAAGGAUCUCGAGUGUUAUAUUUACAUCGUUUCCACCCAAUUUGCCUUAAAUGGUUAAGCCGCACGUCACUUCUCACGGAAUCGAUCGCUUGCUGUGCUGUCUAAAGAUGCCCUGGAACGAGAGACUUUGAGGCGCCCACCAUAGACGAAUAAGCCGUCACGACGUCAUAAUGAAAUAUUGAGAGCUGAAGCUGGGCCCCAUGUCGAGAGAGAGACUGCCCCGC
Molecule: RNA transcript, 4061 nt
Organism: Daphnia carinata
Lineage: Eukaryota; Metazoa; Arthropoda; Branchiopoda; Diplostraca; Daphniidae
Gene name: WD repeat-containing protein 6-like
Exons: 14
Source: RefSeq, a predicted model, not a curated record